This 432-nucleotide ribosomal RNA is filed under the name Klebsiella aerogenes. RNAcentral describes it as "bacterial SSU rRNA". It matches the Rfam family "Bacterial small subunit ribosomal RNA", at positions 1 to 431 of the family's 1533-position model. Lineage: Bacteria; Pseudomonadati; Pseudomonadota; Gammaproteobacteria; Enterobacterales; Enterobacteriaceae. The record is from RNAcentral. RNAcentral also lists the same sequence under 4 other names.
AAAUUGAAGAGUUUGAUCAUGGCUCAGAUUGAACGCUGGCGGCAGGCCUAACACAUGCAAGUCGAGCGGUAGCACAGAGAGCUUGCUCUCGGGUGACGAGCGGCGGACGGGUGAGUAAUGUCUGGGAAACUGCCUGAUGGAGGGGGAUAACUACUGGAAACGGUAGCUAAUACCGCAUAACGUCGCAAGACCAAAGUGGGGGACCUUCGGGCCUCAUGCCAUCAGAUGUGCCCAGAUGGGAUUAGCUAGUAGGUGGGGUAAUGGCUCACCUAGGCGACGAUCCCUAGCUGGUCUGAGAGGAUGACCAGCCACACUGGAACUGAGACACGGUCCAGACUCCUACGGGAGGCAGCAGUGGGGAAUAUUGCACAAUGGGCGCAAGCCUGAUGCAGCCAUGCCGCGUGUAUGAAGAAGGCCUUCGGGUUGUAAAGU